UAGAGUUUGAUCCUGGCUCAGAAUCAACGCUGGCGGCGUGCCUAACACAUGCAAGUCGCACGAGAAAGGGGCUUCGGCUCUGAGUAAAGUGGCGCACGGGUGAGUAACACGUGAAUUAUCUACCUCCGAGUGGGGAAUAACUGAGAGAAAUCUUAGCUAAUACCGCAUAACACUUACGAGUCAAAGCAGCAAUGCGCUUGGAGAGGAGUUCGCGGCCGAUUAGUUAGUUGGCGGGGUAAUGGCCCACCAAGACGAUGAUCGGUAUCCGGCCUGAGAGGGCGCACGGACACACUGGAACUGAAACACGGUCCAGACUCCUACGGGAGGCAGCAGUGGGGAAUUUUGCGCAAUGGGGGAAACCCUGACGCAGCAACGCCGCGUGGAGGAUGAAAUCCCUUGGGAUGUAAACUCCUUUCGAUAGGGAAGAUUAUGACGGUACCGGGAGAAGAAGCCCCGGCUAACUUCGUGCCAGCAGCCGCGGUAAUACGAGGGGGGCAAGCGUUGUUCGGAAUUAUUGGGCGUAAAGGGCGCGUAGGCGGUUUGAUAAGUUUCAUGUGAAAUCUAUGGGCUCAACCCAUAGCCUGCAUGGAAAACUGCCGGGCUUGAGGAUGGGAGAGGUGAGUGGAAUUUCCGGUGUAGCGGUGAAAUGCGUAGAUAUCGGAAGGAACACCUGAGGCGAAAGCGGCUCACUGGACCAUUUCUGACGCUGAUGCGCGAAAGCUAGGGGAGCAAACAGGAUUAGAUACCCUGGUAGUCCUAGCCCUAAACGAUGAUUGCUUGAUGUA
This 785-nucleotide ribosomal RNA is filed under the name bacterium enrichment culture clone PA_56. Its description in RNAcentral is "bacterial SSU rRNA". It matches the Rfam family "Bacterial small subunit ribosomal RNA", at positions 1 to 824 of the family's 1533-position model. The record is from RNAcentral.